This 469-nucleotide ribosomal RNA is filed under the name uncultured bacterium. RNAcentral's name for it is "partial 16S ribosomal RNA". It matches the Rfam family "Bacterial small subunit ribosomal RNA", at positions 28 to 507 of the family's 1533-position model. The record is from RNAcentral.
GACGAACGCUGGCGGCGUGCUUAACACAUGCAAGUCGAACGGAAAGGCCCUGCUUUUGUGGGGUGCUCGAGUGGCGAACGGGUGAGUAACACGUGAGUAACCUGCCCUUGACUUUGGGAUAACUUCAGGAAACUGGGGCUAAUACCGGAUAGGAGCUCCUGCUGCAUGGUGGGGGUUGGAAAGUUUCGGGGGUUGGGGAUGGACUCGCGGCUUAUCAGCUUGUUGGUGGGGUAGUGGCUUACCAAGGCUUUGACGGGUAGCCGGCCUGAGGGGGUGACCGGGCAACAUGGGGCCUGAGAUGCGCCCGGGCCCCUCCGGGGAGAGGGCGGGGGGGAAUGUGGACCAGGGGGGGAAGCCCUGAGGCAGACCCCCCGCGUGGGGGAUGCGGCCCUUCGGUUUGUAAACCCCUUCCGCUUGGGAAGAAGGGGGAGGGAGGGAAGGGGGUAAAGAGCCCCGCACAAGCUCGGUG